UGCCACAUUUUUCUCCAGCGGGCUCCUUGGGCUGCUGGGAUCCCGCCCCUGUGCCUGCAGUGCACCCCCCAGAGAGAAGAUGGAACGGGAAAUACCAACCAGCAGCUCCAGGGCACAAGGAAAUCCAGCCAAUGGGGAGUCUGGCCUCAGCCCUCCCCACUCUUGCUGACCCUACCCUGGAAUCCCAACACCGUGACUCGGGUGGACAGGAAGCUGGCGUCCCUGUCUACCAUUGAGGAUAACCUCGCCUGCAUCGAGUGGUCGUUGCAAGGUUCCGGAAGACCCCAAGGGGACAGGCUCUGCAGGAGCAGCACAGAGGGCCACCACCCCAUCGCUGACCAGUCUCUCUGGUGGCCGGCAUCUCAGAGCCCAGGGUGGGGGGGGGCUCAGCCUGUGGGCAGGGACUUCCAGGGUGAGGUGGGCGGAGGCCCCAAAGCCCAGGGGGGCGGGAGCCAGAGGCUGCUGCACACGCACCAGCACACAGCUCCGUCUUUAGAAUGGGCCUCGUUUUAAGAGCAAAUACGCAGCAGCACCAGCGAGCACCGCAUCCCAACAGCACGCGGAGGUUCUUUCCUUCCUGCGCAGAUGCUGUGGCCGCAGCGCAGGCCCCGGCUCGGCCUCCACGGAAACCGUGCCCUUCCGUCGCUUCUCGGCCACUGGCCUACGGUCCAGUGUGAGAGCCUGGCUCCGCCGUCCUGCACUCGAGCAGUGCGCACACCUAGCCCCUGUCCCUUACCACCUCGGAACGGAAUCACACAAUUACCAAGACUAAUAAAAGCUCAAAAACGACUCCACAAA
Suricata suricatta (meerkat) is the source of this 798-nucleotide long non-coding RNA. RefSeq lists it as uncharacterized. NCBI's taxonomy places the organism in Eukaryota, Metazoa, Chordata, Mammalia, Carnivora, Herpestidae. The transcript is spliced from 3 exons. The record is from RefSeq and is a predicted model, not a curated record.